RNAcentral lists this ribosomal RNA (520 nucleotides) under uncultured bacterium. Its description in RNAcentral is "bacterial SSU rRNA". It matches the Rfam family "Bacterial small subunit ribosomal RNA", at positions 120 to 674 of the family's 1533-position model. The record is from RNAcentral.
GGGAAUCUGCCCUUGGGUUCGGGAUAACCGUUGGAAACGACGGCUAAUACCGGAUGAUGACGAAAGUCCAAAGAUUUAUCGCCCAGGGAUGAGCCCGCGUCCGAUUAGGUAGUUGGUGGGGUAAAGGCCUACCAAGCCGACGAUCGGUAGCUGGUCUGAGAGGAUGAUCAGCCACACUGGGACUGAGACACGGCCCUGACUCCUACGGGAGGCAGCAGUGGGGAAUAUUGGACAAUGGGCGAAAGCCUGAUCCAGCAAUGCCGCGUGAGUGAUGAAGGCCUUAGGGUUGUAAAGCUCUUUUACCCGGGAUGAUAAUGACAGUACCGGGAGAAUAAGCCCCGGCUAACUCCGUGCCAGCAGCCGCGGUAAUACGGAGGGGGCUAGCGUUGUUCGGAAUUACUGGGCGUAAAGCGCACGUAGGCGGCUUUGUAAGUAAGAGGUGAAAGCCUGGUGCUCAACACCAGAACUGCCUUUUAGACUGCAUCGCUUGAAUCCAGGAGAGGUGAGUGGAAUUCCGAGU